UUGGCUGAUACUGUUUUUUCUUUUUCUUCUUUCUCUCACUGCCUUCUGGAAUUUCCUUUCCAGUCGUCCUCUUCCUUUUCUUUUCCGUAUUUAUUUCAGAGGUUGUAUGCUUAGCAAAUUCAUCUUCAAUAUCUAUGUCGGCAAAUGGCAUCUCUGCCAUCAGAGAAUCAACUGAAUCAGCAGGAGGACAUGGCUUUUUUCCCUCUUGUGUCCUUUUUUUAUUUCCUUUAACGAUUUUCUUCUCCUGCUGCAUAUUUUCCAGCCCAUCGUGCUUUGGGGUCGAGUCGGUUGCGAGGGACGGCUUCUCGCCGCCACCCGCUUCUGCCGCCGCCGGCCGCAGCGCCAUGGGACUCGCGCGCGGGGCGAGAAGGGCGCGCGGGGCGAGAAGGGCCGCAGGCCACGCCGAGCAGAGCGCGGGGAGCAGCCGGCGCAGCACACGUUGCAUCUCCGGGUGGGACGAGCGAGGCUGGCUGCCGGGACACCGCGGCCCGGACGGGACGGGGCCGGGCGCAGGCGCCGCGCCCUUCGGCCCGACGAGAGAGGGGCCACGGGGCCGCAGCCGCGGGACUACAGCUCCCAGCGCGCACCGCGCGGCCGGCCCGGCGCGGGGCAUGGCGGGAGGCGGGCGGGGCCGGUGCUGCUCCGGAGCAUCGUCUGUGUGUUGGGCCUGCACAGUCCAGAGCGAUGAUUUUCUGUUUUUUAGUUGAGGUCUAGGGAAGAUAGAUAGUCUUGCUGUAAGCAGCCGUUCAUUUUUUAUGAGACACCGGAACACUUACUGGGGCAGUAAUGUCCCAGCUGUGACUGCACAGCCUCCUGUUGGGAAUCUGCCUCUGGGGCAUAUGUGGGAGGCUGCUCCUCUGAGGCGAGGAGUGGAAGGCUCUGUUUUCCUGCUUGAAUAAAGACUUUGUGCCCCUUGGAAACAAAACUCCGGCGCUAUGUUCUGUGGAUGACGCCAAACCAAAUCCUGCCUUGUGUUUUUGCACAUCUAUCUGUGCAUACGGACAGGAUCUGAAGGGACUGACUGUAUAUUUGAAUGCAGGUUCUUACUUCCACUUCUGAAGGGAGUAUGGGUGGAGGAGAGAGAAAACAAAAAGAUGGCCAUAGCAGGAAGGAAGCAGCACAGCGAGAUGUGGGUGGGAGGUUGAAAGCUGAGAGACCGCUGAAAAUUGCAUGGGUUUCUGUACUCGACCUGUCUGUACCUUUUCUUCAUGGCAGAUAAAAUCUGUUUGGAAAUGCUUCGCAACUAUUUUGACCCAUUUCAUACUGUGUUUGCCUUUAAUGUCUUUCACACAGUAUUUUCAUUAGGUCUGCGUAGUCUUAUGGAAACCACAGACUGGAUGUGACACAGAAAUCCCAGUCCUGAGGAAUCUGGGGAAAGUCUGAACAUAAGGCUACUGGCAGUGUUUCUUGCUGCGUGUUUCAUCUGAAUAUCAGCUGUCAUAAGAAGUCUCAAUACAUACAUGGUCACCUCUUUCAGGCCUGUUUAGCUUUAUGAGUGAAAUACUUAAAAUAAACAUUUGAUUGCAUGAGGUUACAGAUCAAAUAUUUUUAUUCUUAUUUGUAUUACAUAUAUUUGUAGAAAUGUGAAUGUAAAACCGAAUGUUUGAUCUGAAGCAGCUCCCAGACAAUUCAUUAGGUGGUCUGAGGAAAUCCUCAGCGAGAAACAAGAUUUUUGUUUAUACGGUUGACAGAGGAAUCUAAUGCAAUACUAGAUAAGUAAAUAUUUAGCAGUCGUCAUAGCAAAUUAAAACAGUCUGUCUUGGGUGAACCUAAGAUUAUUUCUGUUCAGUAGCCACCAGCCUAAUACUAAUAUGGAGAUGUACUCUUUGGGUUCAUGGUGUACCCAAGUAUGCAGGUUGCAUUAAUUAAAUUAUUUAACUAAAUAAUUAAUUAAAAAUGCAUUUGCUAGGGGUUGUGAGAUUAGCUGAUGUCACAAAUCAUCCCUGCAAGUCAUAAAAGUGGUUUGAAGGGAAAAAAAAAAAAAAAAAAAAAAAAAAAAGGACUAGAAAGCUGAUUUUUCUGCCUGCCUAAAUACCACAGAAGUUACAUAGUUGUCACUGACCUGGUGCCCAUCUGAUGCAAGCCAAUACGUAUGUUGUUGCAAAUGCUUAGGUUUGGGCUAAAGCCAAAGUUUUAUCAGUUUUCUGUGCCCUUGUCUUUAUUAAGGAGAGUUUCUGAUUAACCUCACAGUGGCACAGUUGUCCCUUUGAGGAGAGAAGAUCAGAACUCGUACGACAGCUGAGUGAUGUUAGCAGAAAGAGGAAGCACAGGCAGCUCUACAAACGGAUUUGAGUAUACAGCCACACUGCCCGUGCCUAUCAGCCUCUCACCUGACUGUCUCUUAACCCAUCAUUAAAUCCAAUUUAGUAAAGAGUAAGAGGGCUCAGAGGCACGAUAUUCUCACACCUUUCCUGAAAAUGAGUGCUCUGGGAGAAAAGAGAUUGAUUUAGCUCCCAAAUGAAGAGACAGUGCUGUGCGUAUGUUCUUCCCUGAAACAGUGGCAGCUGGCCAUGAGUAUUGGUCAGCGUGUUAGAUGAUAGGUCACAGCACAUUUUAUCAGCACAUAUAAUCUCUUAUCUUAGUCAAACAAGAGAGAUGUGGGAGCCAUGAGUAUUCAGAACGUGGUUCACUUACGGGAGGUGAGGAAAUAAAGGGACAAGAACAAAACGCAUUUCAGGGAGGCCUAAAUAUUGAAAGAGGAUAUUGAGAUAUUGUAUAGGAUGUGGGAGGGAGUUGAUGAUACUGUAAUGAGAGGGCAUCAAGACUAUAGGGGAAGCUUUGGCUAUUGUGAUAAGAUGGGAGGACAUAACUGAUAUGAAACAAGGCUUUGUUACAGCCACUGCUGAUAGAGCAACUUGUUUUCUGACAAGUGAAGAAUAGACUGUGUUCCGAUAGUAAUAAGAGCCUUUCUAUAGGGACAAAGAAAAGCAUAAGUUGCAGAACUGCAGAUACUGGAAAAUGAGAGAGAGACAAAAGUGCCUGGGUUAAAGUAACUUAAUGUAAGGAUCAGAAAGCAAAAUGCUAGGGUUGCUUCAAUAACUGUAUAAAAGGAAGAAAACCUGAUGUUGUGUACUUACCUACUUAAUGAAUAGAAAUGGCAUUUAAUAUCUAACAUGAAGAUUGAUAUGGAAAUUACAUGCAUGGGUAUUUGCAUGAUCUGUUGACAUGGUAGUUUAUGUACAUUAUUACAGAAGUGAACAGAACAGGGGAAUCAGCUGAUUAUCCAAACAUGCAGUUCCUUACUUGCUACCCUCUGGGUGGUGACCUGUUAAGAGAAUCACCUGGUGAAGGUCAGUCUACACGCUCAAAUGCUAUUGAUGUUGAUGUAUGGUUCUGCGCACUUCCAGGUACCUCUAGGCUUUUACGAUGGCAGGAUGAGCAUGACUGUUGAGCAGACAGAGGAUUCACCUAUCAAAGUGGGGCAUGAAUGCCUUUGCCAGCAGGUUUGCUGAAAGAUAGAGGCAUAAGCUGGAAGAGAGUUGUCCCAGAUGUACUGGCAGAGAGGUGGUGAGAGAUGGUGGGAAAGCACAUGCAGGACAGUGUGGUGGCAGAGGCUGUCCCUCUGUGCCUGAGAAAGCAUCGUGUGUGAAGCUGUAGUGCUCAGAGCUGGGAGAGACCAGCUCUGGCACACAUCUGGGAGGACCUUGGCUGGCUGGAGAAGUGGGACAACAAGUGCUUCAUGAAGUUAAACAAGGACAAAUGUAAAAUCUUGCAGCUAGGACAGUUGGUUUUGACAAAAGCAUCUGGAUGCAUUUCUACAUUAGUUUAGGUCCCUGACAUUUUUAACACACUUGGAUGAGCUCUGCACCAGACAUUACCAUUAGGGUGAACUCCUUCAACCAGGUUACCUUGCUGUUGUGUAUUUCUGAAAGUAGCUAUGCUUUAUGGAUUUAGUCUUACACAAAAUGUCUUUACAACUUCAGUCAGACCCUUUUUCUGUAUAAGGAUUGCAGUGUUGUACUUGCCUACACAUCUUCCCAGCCUUCUUUCAGCACAACUCCAAACAGCCAAAAGAGAGGAAAUCCUUCUGAGGCCUUUAGGGCUUUGCAAUAACAAAAGCAGCAGGAAGAAUAUCUCCAAGUAGCAAAAAUAAGUUUGUAUUAGACACGUCUAUUUAGGAGCUGACUAAAAUAUUCAUUUAAUUUUGCUUCAGUGGAUCAGAUUGAAAUGACACAGGGUCAUAUUUGCAGGAAGACAUACACCCCUUAAUGCAAAUGGAAGAAGAUACACACCUCUGAGAGAGCUAAGACUUAACUGCAGGCUUAGUCAUCCUGAGUGCAGGGACACUGGCUUAGGACACACCCAACCUCACAAGCACAUAGGUAUCUUACAGAUCUCUUUCAGGUUUCUACUACAUCAUUUUCAGUUCACUUAUAAAUUGCUUUCCUUCAGGGAUGGGGAAUUGGGUGGGGAUGCAGAGAGGUCUAAUAGCCCCUAUUAAAAUGCUACCAGUUGCUAAGCAUUUCUGGUUAUCCUUGUUCUUUCUACAGCCCUUGUUCCCUGGGAAAGAUACAGUUGUCAGUUGUUCAUCCGUUUGCCCUGCACAUUGUAUCUCAUUGGCUAGUUUUAAUGUUUCCUCUUAAAUACUUGAAUUAGAGGGUGCAGAACGUGCUUUCCUAACCUAAUUCUCUCACUCCUCAGCACACCCACAAUAGAAAUCCACCAGAAGUCAUCUGAGUAAACUCUCAUUUUGCAGCAGACCUGUCAUGCUAUUGCUGACAAAACCAGUUUUCCCUGUGUUGCUCCAGCAUCGGGUAAAAAAAGCGAUUCAUUUCUUUACCUGUCUCAGAAGUACAGAUUCUAUCACACAAUUAGAUAUACAGAAGUUUAGUUUCAAAAACACAGGGUAACCAUAACACAAAUAAUACAAUGGAAUACGUCUACUAAUUCAUAUUUUACUAUCAUUAAAUAUUUAUGCGCACGCAAAUGUAACUAUAAAACAGAAAAGAAACGAUUUUGAUAGCUACAAUCUUGUUUCUCUUAUUCUUCGCGUGUACCAUUCAGAUUUAUGCAGAAGGUUUUGUGCAGUGGGGACCAUUAAUGGCAGUCUGCAAAGAGGAGACACCAUUCAGUUUGAUAGGAUACCUCCACAGAUGUGUACACUGAAAUAAAAACACGUUUCUCUUUUAGAGCCUUUAAUAAACCUAGCGGACUUUUUAGCUCCAGAGGUCAAGUUAAGUUUGGUCCGAAGUCUCUGGAGUUGCUUUUAUUUUCUGACUGAAAUAGGAACUUAAGAAAAGCGUGUGGACGGAAAGUGUUUAAUCUAAAAAAGAAGACACUGCCCGCAGUUUUAAGAGUUUGAUUUUAAAUGCAGUGAAUAUGGCCAAAAGCCAUGCGGAAGUCACGCAGCUGAGACACUGGAUCCUGCAUUCCUUGAGCAAAAGACACUUUACUGGGAGUCUUAGGCAAGUAAAGAAUGCAGUUCUGGAUCCAAAAUGCAUAUUAUUCCAAAUGUGGGUGGGGGAAAUAUGUACUUACUGACUAAACUGAAAAAUCUUGAUUCUCAGCUGCCUAUCUGUUGUGUUUCUUGCUCUCUUCUCCCUUCUUGCUCGUCUGUCUGUCCCUCUUUUCAGCCACAAACUUCUCUUUCAGCCCUGACUCCCUUACCUUCCCAAGCUCCAAGUACUACACAAACACCCUAUGCAUUUGUCACCACCGUGCAGGCUUUGUGAGUGGCAUUGUUUCUUUUUUCCCCUUUUUUAUCCGUAGACUUUUUGUAAGGUUAGGACAUCUGUGGAAUAGAGGCAGUAUCUUUCAUGCAUGUUUACUGAGCACAAAGUCCAAUUACAAAAAAACCCGAGCUUCUUGUUGCCAGCACAUAGUGCAGCUCCUUGCGAUGUGGAGAUCAUCACUCCUAGUCCAGAGGCAUUUCUGGUGCAUGCCUAAGGGUUGUUCUAGAAACACUCUUCUUUCUCCACAGAUGGCGCAGAUGGCCAGACCAACUAGGCAGGCGUCCUGCUGAGCAUAUCAGUUAAAAGGCAUGAGGUGGGUGUAAUGAAUCCGGACCUACAUUUUGUGAUAGGCUGGUUUAGAAUUAGGAAAAAACCUUUGUGCUUUGGCUUAGUAUUUCUGUCUCUGGCGAAGCCUCUUGGAGCCCAGACAAUUAAAUUCAGUAUCUACUCUCUAAGUGGAAACACUCGUGUCAAAGCAGUGUUUCUAGGGUGUGACACUAAGCCAGGCUCAGCUGGAAGAACCCAAUGAAGACUACUGCCAAUGUUGCAAAGCUCAAGCACUCAGAAAACUUCAGGCAGUGUAGGCUUUGGGACUCCUCCAGGUCAGAGCCUACGUAGGAAGAAAUAAUUGAGUAUUGUUUUGUGUUUCAUGUGAAUUUUGAAAUUGAUUUACCCCUGGUGUGGCUGGGGCUAGCUGCACAAAAAAAAUCCCACCCACUGCUUUCACAUCAGCAGUCUCUUAAGAUGUUUGUUUAUAUUUAACCAGAAGAAUAAAACAGAAAAAGGAAAAAAAAAACCCACAAAACAACUGUUGUUCAAAAUACCUUUCCUGUGAGCUAUUCGGGGAAACAGUAACUUACUGUCUGAAAGAGAAAAGGGUCCCUGACCUAAGAAGUGAGAGGGCUCAGUUCUAACUGUUGUUUUAGCUGCCACUCACACCUGGACCUGGCAUCCAGUUUCUGUCACUGAGCUCCCUGGCAGUUACUGCAUGUACUGCUCCCUGGGUGACUGCCUGCUCUUUGCUAACGAUGAGAGUUACUGAUCCUCUGCUGGAGUCUUAAGGUUUAAUGCACAAGUCACAAAGGUGAACCAAUUCAAAGCUCCCACAUUUUACAGUCAUUAUUUUAACCUAGCUUAAGUGAAAGACUUAACUCAUCUAGUGUUAUGAAAAAGCCUGAAAAACAUUGAAGGAAACAAGUACAAUUAAAAAAAAAAACCCACCUAGAUGCAUUCUAGUUAAUGGGAAAAGAAAUGGAUUUUAAUUUUCCUCCUUGCACAUUAAAUCUCCUACAUUUUUGUUCAAUCCUACAGCCUUUGCUGAGCCACUUCAAAUUCUUAUUCACCAUACUAAAAUGCAUUGCAAGAUCUGAAAGUGUACAGAAGCCAUCAAAUUUUCUCUGGUAAAUCUGGCUUUGAGUCCAAAUCGGAGCAGUAUUUUCAGCAUACCUAUGCCCAGGACCAGAUCUGGGUCACUUUAUCAGGUACACAAUCUCACCCCAUACGUCAGUACUGUGCCCUUUUGCAGGUGUCUGUGAAAGUGAGUUCACGAUUGUUUGAUAGAGUUAGAAUCAAGUGAGGAGAGUAUGAGGAAAAAUGUCUCCUCGGGCUCCUUAAGAGCUGUAUUUCAUGUAGUUUGGUCACAACAGCUAUUUGGUCUUAUUACAAGAGCUUGUACCCAUGAAGGAGGGAAAGAAUGCCUUAUUUAAUCAGUUUAAUUUUAAGAUUGGAACUUGCCAAACUCGGUUCUGUGCAUGAAAAUCAAUAUACAGCUUAAAAAUAAUGAAAUGUGGCUUACGUAUCUACUUUGAAUACUGAAAGGCAAAAGCUCAAGCAUACAUUAAAAUUCAUCCUGUCAAGACCUCUGCCUUUGGUGGAUAGCCAGAGAAACAAUGUAAUCUCACACAUAAUUUGUACUCAGCUCGACAUAUUUCCAUAUAAGCCAUUCAGUUUUGAUCAAAUGUUUUGAUAAAUUCCUAUGCAACAAAGCAUUGCAGUAUGGCUGCUCUCUCUCUCUGAUUUCUGCUGGUUCCUGAAAGCUUUGUCAUCAUUUUGAGCAAAACAGGUAAGCAUCAACGUUGCAAAUAAUAUGAAAAUUUAAAAUAACAAAAGAAUAGCACUAUGCAAGAGGAAGUUGUCUUUCUGUUGUGUCCUGG
RNAcentral lists this long non-coding RNA (7825 nucleotides) under Gallus gallus (chicken). Lineage: Eukaryota; Metazoa; Chordata; Aves; Galliformes; Phasianidae. The record is from RNAcentral.